GGGGCUGACUAUAGCUUUCGACGAGAGGACAUUAACAGGUUAUUUUGCAGGUCGACUAUACACGUACGUAUAUAUUUAAUUGCAAAAUCUAUUGCUAGCAUUCAAGGUUCACUUGACUCAUUCAAAUCUUUGUUUGAUGUUAAGACUCCUUCGUUUGCGCCAAUCGCAGCCUAAUCGCUCGAUCAUUCCGUGUUAGCAGGUGACAUAGCGGUACGGGGUGUUAUAUACAUGUCACUUACUGGGCAAUAGAGCAGUGGCUAUUGUUUGGAAAAUUUUACCACGUGACUAAUUGCUUAUUUGUGUUUAUCUUCUAGAGCAUGAUGUCGUAAACAAUCAAGAUAAACUAUGCCUGUAGACGAAUAACCAGUUACCUUUCGGACCGGGGUGCGAUUCCCCGCAGCUCCACCA
Non-coding RNA from Candidatus Saccharibacteria bacterium GW2011_GWC2_44_17, 408 nucleotides. Lineage: Bacteria; Candidatus Saccharimonadota. The record is from Rfam.